AAGUCGUAACAAGGUCUCCGUAGGUGAACCUGCGGAGGGAUCAUUACCGAGUGAAGGGCUUUCGGGCCCGACCUCCAACCCCAUGUUAUCCGACCCAGUUGCCUCGGGGGCGACCCGGCCUCACGGCCAGGGGCCCCCGCUGGACCGUCCAACACUGCAUCGUUGCGUCCGAGUCAAUAUUGAAUAAUCAAAACUUUUAACAACGGAUCUCUUGGUUCUG
RNAcentral lists this unclassified non-coding RNA (220 nucleotides) under Dothideomycetes sp. RNAcentral's name for it is "partial contains small subunit ribosomal RNA, internal transcribed spacer 1, and 5.8S ribosomal RNA". The stretch from base 1 to 46 matches the Rfam family "Eukaryotic small subunit ribosomal RNA", at positions 1786 to 1831 of the family's 1831-position model. Lineage: Eukaryota; Fungi; Ascomycota; Dothideomycetes. The record is from RNAcentral.